AGCUUUGGAGCUGGGAUUAGAACAGUUCUUCAGACCUCACUGUCCUGGGCUGGUCUCCCAAGAGGAAGUGGGCAGGUCACUGAGGGAGGGAAGCCAUCAAGGCCAUCAGAGCAAAUACAUAGAGGUCAGCUGAAGGUGUCCCAGAGUGCUGGAUUACAGUGUGUGUCUCCAUGCCUGGGGACACACGCUGUAACGUAUGUGGUGCUGGGGACCAAACCCAUGUCUCUGUGCAUCUGAGCUUUCCUUAGAUGGAGCCUCUGUCAGAGCCAAGAUGGUGCCGGUUUCCUCCGACUGUGACUAGAAGAUGGUGAGACCGAAGGCAACUUUAGAAGGCAACAAACCUUCAUACUGUCUUUUCCCAGGGAGGAGCCAUGAACUUUUGGUGGCCCUUCUCCUCAAGCUGGAAGAACAUUCGGGCUGGUGAACAUUAACCCUUCUGCAGCCAUGCCACGGUGAAACAGACACAAAACAACGUGGAUGAACCUUAGCCCCUUCCAUGGUUUAAAUGAGAGCAGCUCAUCUAGGCACGUAUGUUUGAAUAUUUGGCCUCCAAUUGGAAGAACCAGAUGGGAAAGGUGCAUACUAUGUCAUUAAAGGCAACUAAGUAAAGGCAAACCAUGCACAGACUGAGGAGUGUGUCUGGGAGCUGAUGCUGAGUUGAAGGCUGAAAGGACAGAUCCACACAAGCCCUUCACCAAGUCUCAAACUGCUGCCUCUCCUCAGUGUGGCUGGAGAAUGAAUGCCUCAUACUGACUCCUUGUCCUGUCUUAUAUACCUCUCAUGAGUACUGGGAUUAAAGGUCUUCAAACAUAGGUUGUCCACAGUUGAACGCCUAGCUGUCCUCUCAACCUCAACAACGGCCGGACAUGCUGCCUCCUGUAGGAUGAAUGCCUGGGAGUCAAACCUGGAAAACAUCAAACUCUGUCCUUCCUGGUUCAGCCUCUUUGGGGCUUAAUAUCAACUUGAAGGAUCUAGAAUCAUCCAGGAGACAGGCCUCUGGGCAUGAGGAACUUCUAGAUGGAUUAAUAAAGAUGGGAAGGUCCACUGGAAUUUUGGGAUUAAGGUGGGAAGAUCCACCUUAGCUAUGGGUAACAUCAUCUCCUGGGCUGGAGCACAGGACUGAAAACAAAGGAGAAGCCAAGCUGAGCAUUCGUCUCUUUCCACUUCCUGACUGUGGAUGGAAUGUGAUCAGCUGCCUUGAAUUUCUGCCACCAUGCCAUCCCCACCAUGGUGGACUGAACUCUUACUCUGUGAGCCAGAAUGUACCUACCCUUCCUUCUUUAUACUGCCUUUGCAAAGCAUUUUGUUACAGCAAUAAUAAAAGUAAUCAAGAGAGCAACCUCACCGCAUCUGCAGAUCCCAUUGUCCUGGUCUCUGAGUCAGUGCCCAUUUUUCCACUGCUAGAAUUCUCCAGCCUCAGCCGCCUCUUCGCAGUGAUCUCCCAAUGGUUUCCCCAUCACUUUCCCAUGGGUGGCAAGCUACACCUAUCCUUCAGACUGCCCUUUACACAAUGACUACAGUGAAUGGCAAAUGAACUCCAGUGCAGAAUAAAUCAAUCAAUCCAGUGAUUAUUUUUCAUCCAGUGAGACCUAGGAUAGAAUGCAUUGGUCACUUCUCAUGGCUGUCAUGACAUGAUGAGUGCUUAGGUGCCUGUUUCCUUCCCUGACCUUGGGGCUCUGAGGCAGCAGGGGUUCUGUCAGGCAUAUAAACCAC
Molecule: long non-coding RNA, 1713 nt
Filed under: Cricetulus griseus (Chinese hamster)
Lineage: Eukaryota; Metazoa; Chordata; Mammalia; Rodentia; Cricetidae
Description: lncRNA (ENSCGRG00015033817.1)
Source: RNAcentral